This 512-nucleotide ribosomal RNA is filed under the name Eimeria mitis. RNAcentral's name for it is "bacterial SSU rRNA". It matches the Rfam family "Bacterial small subunit ribosomal RNA", at positions 22 to 573 of the family's 1533-position model. Lineage: Eukaryota; Apicomplexa; Conoidasida; Eucoccidiorida; Eimeriidae. The record is from RNAcentral.
GCUCAGGAAAAACGCAAGAGACGUGCCUAACACAUGCAAAUUUAAUAGUUAUAGAUUAACUAUAGUGAAUUGGUGAGUAAUAUAUGAAAAUUUAAUUUUAGAUUAGAAGUAUUCUUAAUAACUUAGGAUUAAUCUCUGAUAAGCGCAUUUGUGCUUUAAAAAGUUAAAACUGUCUAUAAAAAAGUUCAUAUCUGAUUAGCUAGUUAGUAAGGUAAUACUUAUUAAGGCGAAGAUCAGUAGCUGCCCUGAGAGGGGGACCAGCCACAUUGGGAUUGAGAUACAGCCCAAACUCCUACGGGAGGCUGCAGUGGGGAAUCUUCUGCAAUGAGCGCAAGCUUGACAGAGCAUCGUCACGUGAAGGAAGACAGCUUAUUAUAGUUGUAAACUUCUUUUGUUUAAAAGUGAAUACUGACACUUAAGCAAAUAAAGUAUCGGCAAACUCCGUGCCAGCAGCCGCGGUAAAACGGGGGAUACAAGCGUUAUCCGGAAUUACUGGGCGUAAAGCGUAUGUA